This 478-nucleotide ribosomal RNA is filed under the name uncultured Glomus. RNAcentral's name for it is "SSU rRNA". It matches the Rfam family "Eukaryotic small subunit ribosomal RNA", at positions 569 to 1048 of the family's 1831-position model. The record is from RNAcentral. Lineage: Eukaryota; Fungi; Glomeromycota; Glomeromycetes; Glomerales; Glomeraceae.
AGCAGCCGCGGUAAUUCCAGCUCCAAUAGCGUAUAUUAAAGUUGUUGCAGUUAAAAAGCUCGUAGUUGAACCUCGGGGUCUACCCAUUGGUCAGGCUUAAUUGUCUGCACUGGUGAGAUGGAUCUCUACCUUCUGAGGAACUUUCAUGCCAUUUAUUUGGUGUGAUGGGAAAUCAGGACUGUUACUUUGAAAAAAUUAGAGUGUUUAAAGCAGACUAUCGUCUGAAUACAUUAGCAUGGAAUAAUGAAAUAGGACGGACUGAUUCUAUUUCGUUGGUUUCUAGGAUCACCGUAAUGAUUAAUAGGGAUAGUUGGGGGCAUUAGUAUUCAAUUGUCAGAGGUGAAAUUCUUGGAUUUAUUGAAGACUAACUACUGCGAAAGCAUUUGCCAAGGAUGUUUUCAUUAAUCAAGAACGAAAGUUAGGGGGAUCGAAGACGAUCAGAUACCGUCGUAGUCUUAACCAUAAACUAUGCCGACUA